AGGGCACCACCAGGAGUGGAGCCUGCGGCUUAAUUUGACUCAACACGGGGAAACUCACCCGGCCCGAACACCGUGAGGAUUGACAGAUUGAUAGCUCUUUCAUGAUUCGGUGGUUGGUGGUGCAUGGCCGUUCUUAGUUCGUGGAUCGAUUUGUCUGGUUUAUUCCGAUAACGAGCGAGACUCUAGCCUACUAACUAGUGCGGGCAUUGCCGCUGUGCCUCGCCGCACUUCUUAGAGGGAUUGGCUGCGUCUAGCAGCACGAAACAGAGCAAUAACAGGUCUGUGAUGCCCUUAGAUGUCCGGGGCUGCACGCGCGCUACACUGGCAAAGGCAGCGUGCUUGUCCGCCUCCGAAAGGAGCCGGUAAACCAAUGAAAAUUUGCCGUGAUUGGGAUCGGAAAUUGCAAUUAUUUUCCGUGAACGAGGAAUUCCAAGUAAGUGCGAGUCAUCAGCUCGCGUUGAUUACGUCCCUGCCCUUUGUACACACCGCCCGUCGCUGCCUAGAACUGAGCCAUUUCGA
Molecule: ribosomal RNA, 519 nt
Filed under: uncultured eukaryote
Lineage: Eukaryota
Description: SSU rRNA
Rfam family: Eukaryotic small subunit ribosomal RNA
Source: RNAcentral